RNAcentral lists this signal recognition particle RNA (287 nucleotides) under Erinaceus europaeus (western European hedgehog). RNAcentral describes it as "Metazoan signal recognition particle RNA". It matches the Rfam family "Metazoan signal recognition particle RNA", at positions 1 to 219 of the family's 299-position model. Rfam says of the family: The signal recognition particle (SRP) is a universally conserved ribonucleoprotein. It is involved in the co-translational targeting of proteins to membranes. Lineage: Eukaryota; Metazoa; Chordata; Mammalia; Eulipotyphla; Erinaceidae. The record is from Rfam by way of RNAcentral.
GCCGGGCGUGGUGGCGCGCGCCUGUAGUCCCAGCUACUUGGGAGGCUGAGGCUGGAGUCGCUUGAGCCCAGGAGUUCUGGGCUGCAGUGCACUAUGCCGAUCGGGUGUCCGCACUAAGUUCGGCAUCAAUAUGGUGAUCUCCCGGGAGCGGGGGACCACCAGGUUGCCUAAGGAGGGGUGAACCGGCCCAGGUCGGAAAACUAUGAGUCACUACUCAAUGAAAUAGAAACUGAUACCAAGAAAUGGAAAGACAUCCCAUGCUCAUGGAUUCGAAUAAUAAAAUUCAU